UACGAAGGGGGCUAGCGUUGCUCGGAAUCACUGGGCGUAAAGGGUGCGUAGGCGGGUCUUUAAGUCAGGGGUGAAAUCCCGGGGCUCAACCUCGGAACUGCCUUUGAUACAGCAAGUCUUGAGUUCGAGAGAGGUGGGUGGAAUUCCUAGUGUAGAGGUGAAAUUCGUAGAUAUUAGGAAGAACACCGGUGGCGAAGGCGGCCCACUGGCUCGAUACUGACGCUGAGGUGCGAAAGCGUGGGGAGCAAACAGG
RNAcentral lists this ribosomal RNA (253 nucleotides) under uncultured bacterium. RNAcentral's name for it is "partial 16S ribosomal RNA". It matches the Rfam family "Bacterial small subunit ribosomal RNA", at positions 524 to 776 of the family's 1533-position model. The record is from RNAcentral.